Molecule: ribosomal RNA, 497 nt
Filed under: uncultured bacterium
Lineage: Bacteria
Description: partial 16S ribosomal RNA
Rfam family: Bacterial small subunit ribosomal RNA
Source: RNAcentral
GACGAACGCUGGCGGCGUGCCUAAUACAUGCAAGUAGAACGCUGAAGAGAGGAGCUUGCUCUUCUUGGAUGAGUUGCGAACGGGUGAGUAACGCGUAGGUAACCUGCCUUGUAGCGGGGGAUAACUAUUGGAAACGAUAGCUAAUACCGCAUAACAAUGGAUGACACAUAUCAUUUAUUUGAAAGGGGCAAUUGCUCCACUACAAGAUGGACCUGCGUUGUAUUAGCUAGUAGGUGAGGUAAUGGCGCACCUCGGCGACGCUACAUAGCCGACCUGAGAGGGUGCUCGGCCACGCUGGGACUGAGACACGGCCCAGACUCCUGCGGGAGGCAGCAGUAGCGGAUCUUCGGCGAUGGGGGCAACCGUGACCGAGCAACGCCGCGUGAGUGCAGAAGGUUUUCGGAUCGUAAAGCUCUGUUGUGAGUCAAGAACGGGUGUGAGAGUGGAAAGUUCACACUGUGACGGUAGCUUACCAGAAAGGGACGGCUAACUACGUG